Populus nigra (black poplar) is the source of this 443-nucleotide long non-coding RNA. RefSeq lists it as uncharacterized. The transcript is spliced from 2 exons. The record is from RefSeq and is a predicted model, not a curated record. Lineage: Eukaryota; Viridiplantae; Streptophyta; Magnoliopsida; Malpighiales; Salicaceae.
UUUGCUCUAUAAAUUUAAGGAUGAUUGAUCGAGACUGCAUAAACAGGACAUCCACGGAUGAAGAUAUAAUAUGAUCAUGAUCUUUUUUUGUUGGGAAAAUGGGGUUCUUCAAUCAUUAUGUCUUAUGGUUAAUUAAAGUAUGAUUACUGACCUUCAAGGCUUUUCUAUACGGUGUUCCAGGAAAAUUUAGUGGAGCAGAAACCACUCCUUUCAUGAAAGUAACAUACUCUUUCUUCAGCUGCUCAGUCUCUGGCUUUCCAGGAUCCAAGCUCAUCAUAUGUUUUGCCAUCAAAUUGAAGUUUCAAGAAUUACCUUCUUUGCUUCAUCUUGAGCUGAAAAUGUACAAUUCUCCUUCCAAGAACUAAGAACAAGCAAGGUUUGCUUCUCCACUUCUUUCAAUAGAUGACUUCUUAACCUGGCAUGGCUCAAAAAGUUGAGAGAUA